RNAcentral lists this long non-coding RNA (219 nucleotides) under Sorghum bicolor (sorghum). RNAcentral's name for it is "long non-coding RNA (SBIC_LNC012447)". Lineage: Eukaryota; Viridiplantae; Streptophyta; Magnoliopsida; Poales; Poaceae. The record is from RNAcentral.
UAACAGUCGUGGAUGGCAGGGAAGCCUUCGUCUUCUUUGUUUCCCCCCUUAUCGUCGCUCUUGUCUUUCCUUUGGUCGUCCUUCUUCUGCCCCAGGCUGUCGAAGUACUUUUUCAGCAUGUGACUGUCUUUGAGCUUGUGAUUCGCCCCUCCCUUGUGAUAAGGGUAGGGCUCCUUGAGCAUUUUGUCAAAGACGGCCCCCUCUGGGGGAUCUCGAGGC